Molecule: long non-coding RNA, 908 nt
Organism: Dermochelys coriacea (leatherback sea turtle)
Lineage: Eukaryota; Metazoa; Chordata; Testudines; Dermochelyidae
Exons: 2
Source: RefSeq, a predicted model, not a curated record
CAAGCGGGGCCCCGCCCCCGGGCACCUAGGUUCUCCCCCUCCCAUCCGUGCCCUUGAUGGUCAGGUGUCCUGGCCCUUUCCCCUUCCUGUCUUCUGCGCCUGCCUUGUCAUCCCAGACCCUCUCCCGUCCUCUGCUGCCGGCCUGUGUCUGCUCCUCCGCUGCGUCGCCUGGCCUGUCCUAAUUUUCCAUCCCCAGGCCCCGGCCCGCCACCACUUUUCCUCACGCUUCUGUGCAGAGCCUGCUCUGCCUCCUCCCCUCCCCCCCCCCGUUCAUUUUCUGCUGAUGCCGCACCCUGGCCCGCUGCAGGGGCAAACUGGGCCCGUCCCCGCCCUGUUCCCAUGGCAGCGGACCUGGCCUGCGACUUCCAUCUCCCGAGCAAACGUAGGCUGUGCCCGUCUCCCCCCGCUGCUUGCCAUGCUCUGUGUUACUGCUGCUUCCCAUCACUGAACUGGGGCGCUAACAGGCUCUUGCCCCAGGAGGGCUGCAGCAAAAAGGCCACUUUACAGGGCCAUUUGCCGCAGCAGAGCUGACAGGCUUCCCACAGCCGUCACCCGCUGCUGGAAUGUGGGGAAUGCGGAUUUGCAGGGGCAAAGUCCUCAGAGCGUCCCCAUCCCCGCCUCCUCCUGCCCGACCCUGAAAGCGAGCUGCAGCGACAACUGCAGGAAGGAGCCGGAGGGCCCUCACUGCAGGUGUAACGCUUCUGAUCAGCGCUCUCCGGAGGUGCGGGAGUGCGGCGUGCAGCGGGAAGCCUGGAGGACAAAAGCAUCCUAAAGCAAGCCAUCUGACACAGAAAAUAAGUAGAAGAAAGUGGGCUGAAAAUCCUAGACUGAAGGUCAUGUGGUAACUUCAGCUGCUUAUUUAAUAUUCCAUAAAUUUAUUCUGACCUUUUAGCAGUGUGCAUAGCCUU